GCGGGAGUAGCUCAGUUGGUAGAGCAUCAGCCUUCCAAGCUGAAUGUCGCGUUCGAGCCUCGUCUCCCGCU
Molecule: transfer RNA, 71 nt
Filed under: Rhodothermaceae bacterium
Lineage: Bacteria; Pseudomonadati; Rhodothermota; Rhodothermia; Rhodothermales; Rhodothermaceae
Description: tRNA-Gly
Rfam family: tRNA
About the family: Transfer RNA (tRNA) molecules are approximately 80 nucleotides in length.
Source: RNAcentral